Molecule: ribosomal RNA, 546 nt
Filed under: uncultured bacterium
Lineage: Bacteria
Description: bacterial LSU rRNA
Rfam family: Bacterial large subunit ribosomal RNA
Source: RNAcentral
GUCGGAGCCCGCAAGGGUGACGACGUACCUUUUGUAUAAUGGGGUCUGCGACUUAGUCUGGCGAGCAAGCUUAAGGCGAUAGCUGUAGGCGAAGCGAAAGCGAGUCUGAACAGGGCGUUCAGUUCGUCGGACUAGACCCGAAACCAGUCGAUCUAUCCAUGGCCAGGUUGAAAGCAGGGUAACACCUGCUGGAGGACCGAACCGGUGCCUGUUGAAAAAGUCUCGGAUGAGCUGUGGAUAGGGGUGAAAGGCCAAUCAAGGCUGGAAAUAGCUGGUUCUCCGCGAAAUCUAUUUAGGUAGAGCCUCGAGUGAAUACCCCAGGGGGUAGAGCACUGGAUGGGCUAGGGGCCCCCACAGGGUUACCAAACCUAACCAAACUCCGAAUACCUGGGAGUACUGCUCGGGAGACACACGGCGGGUGCUAACGUCCGUCGUGAAAAGGGAAAAAACCCUAGACCGACAGCUAAGGUCCUCAAGUCACGGCUAAGUGUGAAAGGAUGUGGAAAUCCCAUAACAACCAGGAGGUUGGCUUAGAAGCAGCCAUCC